AAACAGUGCAUGGACUCACUUACACACACAAACUCUAGCUUACUUUGCCACAGAAUUUAUUCUAGAAUAAGCUGACGUGAUACUCUUGUGUCUCUGCAGUCCGAAGAGAUCCGCUGCUGUGAACAGUGUCGAUAGCACAGCCCUAAAACGGCCAGACACCAACGAAUCAAUCAACUCCUCCAUGUCGAACGGCACCACUGAUGCAGAUCAGUUUGACAGUCAUGAUGAGAAAGAUGAUGAUGGCGAGGGUGAAUCUGUGGAAGAACA
Sinocyclocheilus rhinocerous is the source of this 267-nucleotide long non-coding RNA. RefSeq lists it as uncharacterized. The transcript is spliced from 2 exons. The record is from RefSeq and is a predicted model, not a curated record. NCBI's taxonomy places the organism in Eukaryota, Metazoa, Chordata, Actinopteri, Cypriniformes, Cyprinidae.